RNAcentral lists this ribosomal RNA (617 nucleotides) under Escherichia coli. Its description in RNAcentral is "bacterial SSU rRNA". It matches the Rfam family "Bacterial small subunit ribosomal RNA", at positions 1 to 607 of the family's 1533-position model. The record is from RNAcentral. Lineage: Bacteria; Pseudomonadati; Pseudomonadota; Gammaproteobacteria; Enterobacterales; Enterobacteriaceae.
AAAUUGAAGAGUUUGAUCAUGGCUCAGAUUGAACGCUGGCGGCAGGCCUAACACAUGCAAGUCGAACGGUAACAGGAAGCAGCUUGCUGCUUCGCUGACGAGUGGCGGACGGGUGAGUAAUGUCUGGGAAACUGCCUGAUGGAGGGGGAUAACUACUGGAAACGGUAGCUAAUACCGCAUAACGUCGCAAGACCAAAGAGGGGGACCUUCGGGCCUCUUGCCAUCGGAUGUGCCCAGAUGGGAUUAGCUAGUAGGUGGGGUAACGGCUCACCUAGGCGACGAUCCCUAGCUGGUCUGAGAGGAUGACCAGCCACACUGGAACUGAGACACGGUCCAGACUCCUACGGGAGGCAGCAGUGGGGAAUAUUGCACAAUGGGCGCAAGCCUGAUGCAGCCAUGCCGCGUGUAUGAAGAAGGCCUUCGGGUUGUAAAGUACUUUCAGCGGGGAGGAAGGGAGUAAAGUUAAUACCUUUGCUCAUUGACGUUACCCGCAGAAGAAGCACCGGCUAACUCCGUGCCAGCAGCCGCGGUAAUACGGAGGGUGCAAGCGUUAAUCGGAAUUACUGGGCGUAAAGCGCACGCAGGCGGUUUGUUAAGUCAGAUGUGAAAUCCCCGGG